UUUCCUACGGGACGCAGCAGUGAGGAAUAUUGGUCAAUGGGAGAGAUCCUGAACCAGCCAAGCCGCGUGAGGGAAGACGGCCCUAUGGGUUGUAAACCUCUUUUGUCGGAGAACAAAACCCGGGACGAGUCCCGGACUGCGUGUAUCCGAAGAAAAAGCAUCGGCUAACUCCGUGCCAGCAGCCGCGGUAAUACGGAGGAUGCGAGCGUUAUCCGGAUUUAUUGGGUUUAAAGGGUGCGCAGGCGGCCUGUUAAGUCAGCGGUAAAAGCCCGGGGCUCAACCCCGGCGAGCCGUUGAA
Molecule: ribosomal RNA, 298 nt
Filed under: uncultured bacterium
Lineage: Bacteria
Description: partial 16S ribosomal RNA
Rfam family: Bacterial small subunit ribosomal RNA
Source: RNAcentral